RNAcentral lists this ribosomal RNA (250 nucleotides) under uncultured bacterium. Its description in RNAcentral is "partial 16S ribosomal RNA". It matches the Rfam family "Bacterial small subunit ribosomal RNA", at positions 524 to 773 of the family's 1533-position model. The record is from RNAcentral.
GACGGAGGGUGCAAGCGUUGUUCGGAAUUACUGGGCGUAAAGGGCGCGUAGGCGGUCCGCUAAGUUCGGUGUGAAAGCCCCCGGCUCAACCGGGGAACUGCGCCGGAAACUGGUGGACUCGAGUACCGGAGAGGAGGGUGGAAUUCCUGGUGUAGCGGUGAAAUGCGUAGAUAUCAGGAGGAACACCGGUGGCGAAGGCGGCCCUCUGGACGGAUACUGACGCUGAGACGCGAAAGCGUGGGGAGCAAAC